UUGACCGGUCUAAGUGAAUGCAAAUCAG
RNAcentral lists this non-coding RNA (28 nucleotides) under Mus musculus (house mouse). The record is from RNAcentral. Lineage: Eukaryota; Metazoa; Chordata; Mammalia; Rodentia; Muridae.